RNAcentral lists this ribosomal RNA (253 nucleotides) under uncultured prokaryote. Its description in RNAcentral is "partial 16S ribosomal RNA". It matches the Rfam family "Bacterial small subunit ribosomal RNA", at positions 524 to 776 of the family's 1533-position model. The record is from RNAcentral.
UACGUAGGGGGCAAGCGUUGUCCGGAUUUAUUGGGCGUAAAGCGCGUGUAGGCGGCCAGAUAGGUCUGAUGUGAAAACUGGAGGCUCAACCUCCAGCUGUCAUCAGAAACCAUUUGGCUAGAGUCCGGAAGAGGAGAGUGGAAUUCCUGGUGUAGCGGUGAAAUGCGCAGAUAUCAGGAAGAACACCUAUGGCGAAGGCAGCUCUCUGGGACGGUACUGACGCUGAGACGCGAAAGCGUGGGGAGCGAACAGG